Molecule: transfer RNA, 88 nt
Filed under: Pyrobaculum neutrophilum V24Sta
Lineage: Archaea; Thermoproteati; Thermoproteota; Thermoprotei; Thermoproteales; Thermoproteaceae
Also listed under: 2 other names
Description: tRNA-Ser (TGA) (tRNA-Ser-TGA-1-1)
Rfam family: tRNA
About the family: Transfer RNA (tRNA) molecules are approximately 80 nucleotides in length. Their secondary structure includes four short double-helical elements and three loops (D, anti-codon, and T loops).
Source: RNAcentral
GCCGGGGUGGCCGAGCGGCCCAAGGCGCGGGACUUGAGAUCCCGUCCCCGUCAAGGGGGCGUGGGUUCAAAUCCCACCCCCGGCGCCA